This 301-nucleotide non-coding RNA is filed under the name Cryptosporidium parvum. The record is from RNAcentral. Lineage: Eukaryota; Apicomplexa; Conoidasida; Eucoccidiorida; Cryptosporidiidae.
GCGUUGAGCUUUUGUUGUCUUCUAGCUGCACGUGAACAUUUACCUUUAAUUAAAGGAAGAAAUAUAUUUGAAGACUCUAUUUCUAGGAAAUGAUCGCUUUCUAGUUCAUUGAGUUGUUCAAGUUGCUGCUCAACUGAAGUUUUGUUCGGUAAAUUAUCUUCAUUAAGAAAAACGUGAUCAUCCUCCUCAAUAUCCGCCCACCUAAUCUCUCUUUUCAUCAUGGAAGUCCGUCCAAUCCCAAUAAUGUUCGAGCUCAUCUCCCACAAUUCUCUCCCUCCUCCUCAGUAUGUAGCCUAUAAUA